AUGAUAGAGGUGCGGUAUUCAUCAGUAUUCCGGGACAAAUGGCAGGACAGCCGUUUUGGAAGAAAGGGAAGAUCGCCGAAGAGUUAUAUUCCGGUCCGUGGAAUUAGCUCUGGGACGCAGCAGAAUAUGCUGUGGACUGUCACUGACAUGUGGAGCGCUAUCUGA
RNAcentral lists this non-coding RNA (165 nucleotides) under uncultured Robinsoniella sp. RNAcentral describes it as "Lysine riboswitch". It matches the Rfam family "Lysine riboswitch aptamer". From Rfam's summary of the family: Riboswitches are metabolite binding domains within certain messenger RNAs that serve as precision sensors for their corresponding targets. Lineage: Bacteria; Bacillati; Bacillota; Clostridia; Lachnospirales; Lachnospiraceae. The record is from RNAcentral.